RNAcentral lists this ribosomal RNA (447 nucleotides) under uncultured bacterium. RNAcentral describes it as "bacterial SSU rRNA". It matches the Rfam family "Bacterial small subunit ribosomal RNA", at positions 355 to 825 of the family's 1533-position model. The record is from RNAcentral.
UCGGGAAUUUUGGGCAAUGGGCGAAAGCCUGACCCAGCAACGCCGCGUGAAGGAUGAAGUAUUUCGGUAUGUAAACUUCGAAAGAAUAGGAAGAAUAAAUGACGGUACUAUUUGUAAGGUCCGGCUAACUACGUGCCAGCAGCCGCGGUAAUACGUAGGGACCAAGCGUUGUUCGGAUUUACUGGGCGUAAAGGGCGCGUAGGCGGCGUGGUAAGUCACUUGUGAAAUCUCCGAGCUUAACUCGGAACGGUCAAGUGAUACUGCUGUGCUAGAGUACAGAAGGGGCAAUCGGAAUUCUUGGUGUAGCGGUGAAAUGCGUAGAUAUCAAGAGGAACACCUGAGGUGAAGACGGGUUGCUGGGCUGAUACUGACGCUGAGGCGCGAAAGCUAGGGUAGCAAACGGGAUUAGAUACCCCCGUAGUCCCUGAGCGGGCUGGCAAGGCGCAU